Long non-coding RNA from Ictidomys tridecemlineatus (thirteen-lined ground squirrel), 4186 nucleotides. RefSeq lists it as uncharacterized. The record is from RefSeq and is a predicted model, not a curated record. NCBI's taxonomy places the organism in Eukaryota, Metazoa, Chordata, Mammalia, Rodentia, Sciuridae.
CUGGGGCUCUAGGCGCCCCGCCAGGGCCAGUCCCGGGGAAAGCUCGCGGCGGCGCUGGAGCCGGGCUGGAGGGUGCAGGGCCGGUGUCGGGGGGUGCUCGAGUUGGGGUGGGGGGUCUCUCACUAGCUGGGUGCUUUGCACUGGGAGGGGAGCAGCGUGGAGGUGCCGGGAGCUCUUUUCUCAGUGCAGUUCUAAGCAAGAAAUUUCUCCAUGUGCAUGAAGCGUUUUCCCCGGGUGCUUCUCGCCUUCCUCUCCCGGGCUCGGUUUAAGUCCCCUCCCCCCAAAACACAGACACACAUCACACGCACCCCCAGCAUACAGCGCCCCCCUCCCCAUGCGCCAGAGGAGUCCAAGAGCCGCAGCGUUGCGCAGCGUGAUGUAAUUCCUAGGAAGCACUCCUGCCUGUCUGCCCCCGAGACCACGAGGGGGGUCCGUCCGCUCCUCACCCUCCUCCUCCUCCUUGGCCGGGUCCUGCACCCUGAGUGGCCGAGGCGCAGGGGCGCGUCCGGCUCGCCUGCGGCUCCCCUAGCCCGCCCAGCUCCGUACCUCGGUCUCUCGUCUCCCUGGGGGCGGCGCGCCCUCUGCUGGCCUGUUGCAAGCCCUACAUGUGGUGCUGGAGGGGUGGCCCAGGGAAGUGGGUUUUGUCUUUUCUGUCCACUCGGUGUAGCUGGGUUUGUGCUUCUGUGUCCACAUCAUUUGUGUGUGUCUGCGUUUGAUGACCGGUACAUUCUAGUUCUGCAUGUUUUCUUGGGCUUCUCCAGGCCGUCAGUAUAAAUAAACUUCUUGAGAUUCCUCUCCAACACCCUCAAAUUUCACAAGAAUACUUGCUGCGUCUUCUGCGCUGGCCUCAGUGGCCUCAGUCGGGGCAAAGACUUAAAAGAUGAACUGGCAGUAGGGGACCUGAGUUCUGGCUAUGUUCCACCCUGAUAUAACGAUGUUGACCUCGGAAGAGUCACUUUUUUGGCACUGUAAAUCUUAGUUUGGGAGUUAGUGACAUAAGUAUGUUUUGCGAUUUUAAAUAAACCUGUGUGGUGCUUUCUCUUUCAGAAGCAGUUUCCCUUUGAGAGGAGAUGGGUACUGGAUGGCAUCACCAGGCACUUUUCCCUUGAAUGAAGAGAUGAAUCUAAGCUUCAAAACCCAAAUUCGGUUUCCUUUAUAGUGGAUAUGAUUGGAGUCUGGGAUAAGCUGGAGAAGAGAGACUUGGAGUGGAUGACUUGGGCUUUCUCCAGGAUUUCAUGGAGUGGGAGUUAGGAAGUCCCGAGGUGACAGCCUCAAUCACCCUACUUUCUUUCCCCAAAGAUCUAGUUUUUCAUUUCAGCCUGCCCCCGUCCCCUCAAAAGGUCAAUCAUCUGUCUAAGGAAGAAAGGCUGUGCAUGUUACAGUUGGAAGGGAUGACCAGUUUCACUUGAAAAUAUUUUCUUCAACUUUGAAGCCUAUACAACCAGUAGAAUUAGGCUAACAGGGCGCUGCCCCAAAGAAGAGCUUGCUUUUAUGACUGCUGGAGACAAGAACAACCCAUUGGUUGUUGGAAUUGGCACCUGGCACACAGUAGGCUCUUAAACCACACUCUUUAUUUUUGUUGUGUUGGGGGGGGGCCUUUGCAUUAGUUUGUUGUCUUAUGAAGCUUAACAAUUCAGAACAAUUUUGUCACUGCUGUGAAUUAACUGAGAAAGUAAUUUUUCAGUAAAGAGUACAAAAGGGAAAUUCUAACCCAGACCCCCUUGAGAUGGUUAGGUUCCAGUUAGUGGUAUUUUAUUUGUGCUAUUUUUUUUUUUUUUUUUGUUGUUGUUCUAGCAAUCUUUCUUUGUCGACUUCAAAUCAAUUCAGAUCCUUUGGUCACAGACUGGAUAGAUCUGACCGAAAAAAAACAAAAAAAAAAAGCGAAUGAAAAACAAACUGUGUUUGAGAAUAGACUGGGGGACCUGUUCAUGGAGAGUCCAAGGGCCACUCAGGGUGCAGGACCGAGCCAAGGAGGAGGAGGAGGGUGAGGAGCGGACGGACCCCCCUUGUGGUCUCAGGGGUAGACAGGCAGGAGUGCUUCCUAGGAAUUACAUCAGGUGAUCAGGGGAAAGACAGAAAGGAAAAAAAAAAAACUUGUAGUUAUUCUCUACCUCCUAAGAUUUUUGCAGUCCAGUCAGGAUAGAGAUGACAAGUAUGGGAAGAAAAAAUUAAAAGGGCAUGGGAAAAAUGUUUAAAUCCCUAUAAAAUUACAUAUGGAUGUGGUAUACUUUUUUUUUUAACCCAUGACUUCUUUUGAUAAAUGUAACACUUUCAAUUUCAUGCUCUCCUUUGAAUGUAGUCUGAGAUUUUAUAAUACAUUAGGAUGACCCAAAAGAAGUCAAAACAAGUAUAAUAUGAGUUAUUUUUUUUUCUAACCACACCUACCCCAUUCACUCUGGAGUUCUGCAGCCCCUCCCCCCACUCUGCACACUCUGGGGUCCACACGUACGCUUGAGUAGACUUGAGUAUCUGGGGGUGUUGGUGUCUGAGACUAAACACAACCCAUACCUUAAUGGCAGAGCUGAGCUUUAGCUGAACUUGAUGAAGAAAAAGUAUGUACGUGUCUGAGUAGCGAGGAGUUUGAGACAUAGAAUAUGAGUUUUCAUGAAGACAUGACCGUGAGGUUCAGUCAGAGGCUCUGGGGACAUGACAAAUGGAGGAAGGAAUGCCAUACAGAGGGGAACUCAACACAAAGGAGGCCUGGGGUAGUGUAGCUUAGAUAGAGGUAGAGUGCUUUCCUAGCAUGUGCAAGGCCCCGGGUUCGUUCCCUAGCACAAAAAAAAUAUUGCUCAACAGAAAAAGACUUCUGUACCAGGUGGACUGAGGUUGGACUCCCGGCCUAUCACACAGGCAUUUUAGCCAUGGUGAAUUUCUACUUUCUCAUCUGUAAGAUAGAGAUACUACACACCUGUCACAAUUGUACAAUAUUCAGGAGGCAAAGGAUGUCCAGCUGACUCGGUGCCUGGGGCAGAACAUAGACUGAGCAAUAGUCUUUCAACAGAUGUUCUUUGGAGAAACCCCACUGCCUUCCGUUGGCCAAUCAUCUCAGAUCUGAGCAAGAGAGUGGAAGGGGUGGGAAUGCUGCUGAAAUCAACUCCAACACCCAAGGGUCUCACCUUGCUGUUGGCUCAGCAUGUACAGCCGAGCUCUUUUUGAUGGCUGCCAGCCUUUGGGAGUGCAGGGUGGGGCACUGGAAUUUCUGGGGGAACAUAAUAGCCAACCCCUUUUCUUGGUUCUGUAGUUCUUUUAAAGAAGGAACUUGGGGAGAAGGGCAAAGAGGGUGCCUUUCUUCAAAAGGUAGCUGUGGGUGGGAGAUGGGCUAAGGGAGGGCUAUCAGCUCUGCUUUUUGAUCAGGCACUGGGACUUGGGCCUCCAGAGCUGGGGUAGGAGGUAUAAUGAACAAUAACAGGGCCCACUUGUGUCUUGGCUAGCUCCAUCCCAGAUGUUGUCCUGGACAAGAAAAUUGAAGCACUCCUUCAAACAAUUGCUUGGGCAGCUGCAAGUCAAGGCAAGAGAAGCCCAAGGGUACUUAUUUAUCUUUCCUUACUUCCAUCAUGAUUCUAAUAAUAAUUCAUCAAUCUUCUGCUUCUUUGGCCUUGAGAAAGUAGGCCUAAGGUAGCUGUGCAAAGGUAUGGGACUGGAUGUCCCUAAACAUACAGGCAACCAGACAACCUACCAGCUGUGUGAUCUUGGAAACAAAGUUUUAAGAGGAGCAGGAGCGGACUUCAGCCUGCUCCUUGCAGCCCUGACAGCCCCAGCCCUUCCUCAGUCGGCCCCUGCUCGCCUGUCGCCCCCUCCCCAUCUGGCUCCACACUGGGGAAGGGGAGACGUCUCUGGAGCCCGGUGGCUCAUUCAUCUCCUGAUAAACUGUUUAUCUGAGUUUUAACGAGGGCGCCUCUCCCCAGCCCUGGAGACAGGAGCCUCUGCGUGUUUAGCCUGCCCUGAUGUGGGGAGCCUGGGGGUUGGGGGGGGGGUGAGGCCUGCAGGCGUAUCUUCUCCCCUUUCCUCGCUGCCCCCAGCUUUGCCCUGGGUUCUCCUGGGUGGGCGGCCUCGCCCUCUGGUUUCCUUGGCUGCAGUCUGGGUGUAGGGGGGGGGGAAAGGAAAUCUUCCUGCCAUGGUCCCUCUCCCUCCAGCCAUUGUCUUUCUCACACACACACUCUCUCUCUAAAUAAAAAUUUAAAACCAG